Molecule: long non-coding RNA, 1407 nt
Filed under: Zostera marina
Lineage: Eukaryota; Viridiplantae; Streptophyta; Magnoliopsida; Alismatales; Zosteraceae
Description: long non-coding RNA (ZMAR_LNC003084)
Source: RNAcentral
UUGCGGUACAACUUAACAGCUCAAAUUAAAAUAACAAAACGGAAAUUUCUAAUUUAAAUCAUAUCCAUGCAAUCGGGUUGACAGGACCCGUUUGUGCUCCGGCCGACGAUCCGGCAUCCUCACGUUCUCCUCGCUUGGGGUUUCUCGAUCUCCAUUUCCUCCAGUCGACGAUUCCGGCGACAACAGCUCCAACUGCCGGCGAGCUUCUUCGAUAAUCUUCACUUUACAGGUAUCGUCUCUAUCACACAGUGACAAGCGGUUCUAGCCUGGGGCGUAUCCAGGGGGGGCAAGGGAGGGCAAUUGCCCCCCCUAAAAUUUGGAAAAAAAGUGAGGACCUAUAUGUAAUAAAAAAAUUUAUAGGGGGUUAAGUGUAAUUUUCACAAUAUAUUAAUAUUUUUUAAGGGUUAAUAUAUAAACUUCACAAUAUAUUAAUCUUCAAACCCUCUUCUCCCCCGUUUUCCCCUAAAUCCAUCUUCUCCACUUCGGGACUCUCUUCUCCGGACUCCGGGAAUCUUUUCUCCACUUCUCCCUCCGUUGCUACUUGUUGGAUUCUCUGGUAUUUAUUUGUUGAAUUGUUGAUCUUGUUUGUUGUUUCUACUAUUCUCCAUGUCUUGACUCUGGAACGUUGGACACAACCCCAGAUUUUCUCUACCUCCAAAGUCCAAAUUAAUUUUUUUUAUGUUCAUUUGGAAUUAAAAAUUAAAAUAGUUUGAUCACAAAUCUAUGAAACCCAAUAACUCUGCUUACAUUUUUUUCCCUUUAAUAUUACGACACAUUAUCAUAUCUAAUCAUCCCUUUUUUACCCAGACUAUAUAAUACCUACGAAAGCAAAUCGAUGUAUAGCAUGAUAUUGGUGAGAUGAAAAUCUUAACGAUUUAUUCUUUUUUUUGGUUCUUAGACAUUUUAUUCGAUUUAAUUUCAUCGCAAUUUCUUUGCAGAUAAUCAUUAUGGUUCUACUUGUGCCCAUAUUGUUUGGAUUUCUUCUAUCUUAUCGCUUAUAAAUCAUUUUAUUUUCUUUAGGUAGUUCUUCCUUUUUUGCCAACUUAUGAUAUUUCUGGAAAUUGAAACCUAAGAAGAUUUGCUUUAUUUAGAAUUCGAUCAUUUGGAUUCAUGAAUGUUAUAUUGAUUAUCCUUCAUCAAUAAUAUGAACCAGUUCUAGACUUUUGGUGUACUAAAUGUACACAAUAAUUACAGUGAAUAUGCUAUUAAUUAUAUGUAUCCUCGUCGUAGGACAUUGAAGUAAUGUAAAAUGUAUUUGAAAUUUUUAUUGUUAAUUAAAUGAAUGUAUUUAUUUUUAAUUUAAAUAUUAAUUAUGGAAUGAAUGUAUUGAUUUUUUAUAAGUUUUUAUAAUCAAUUAUAUGAAUAGGUCAUGCCAAAAUUUGUAUAGGUUUUUUAAUUAGUACAAAA